GAGAUACAGAGACAGCCCCUAACGGUGCCUGUGGCGGGGUGCCUUCAAAGUCGGCCUUUCCGAUGUCCGACAGACUCCCGAGUCGAAACAUGUCCUCCGUACCUCUGCGGAGCGAUCCUCCACUCAUUACAACCGUCAACGUCAAUGUCCCCGACCUCCUUAGAGAUUGCAAUUGGCAAAUCGUCGGCGCCUACGACAACCCUUUGCAAACGCCUUGGAGGGGAGGCGUCCGUACUUUCAGUCUCGGUAUGAAUUGUCAAGCACUUAGAUGGAAAAGGAAAGAUAUUUUGAGAAUCGACAAGAACAGGAUUUCGGGAUAAUGCAUCUGCAUUGGAAUUGAUUUUCCCAGGUUUAUAGACCAUCUCAUAAUCGUAUUCGUUUAAUCUAAUACGCCAUCUCAUGAUACGGGAAGUGGGAUUUUUUACAUUGUGCAGCCAAAUCAGCGGUCGAUGCGUCAUUAAGGGUCCGAGAUGCAUACGCGAUUGGGAGAUCUUUUCCGAUCUGACCCUGACUCAAUACAGCUCCGACUGCAUAAUUAGAAGCAUCAGUUGUUACGAGGAAUGGCUGUUGAAAGUUGGGAAAUUGGAGCAACGGCUCCGAACAAAUGAUAUCACGUAAACUCUCGAAAGCGAAUUUGACAUCUUUACCCCAGACAAAAGGAAAUGACUUAACAGCCGUGAUCUUCCCGGGGUCUGGUUUCACUCCUUUGGCAGAGAUAACGUGACCCAAAUAGGCAACUUCUCGUCGCAAGAAUCGACAUUUCUCGGGUUGUAACGUUAAACCGGCAUUCUGCAACCGAGCCAAGAGAAUUCUCAAUUUACGAGUAUGCUCUUCCAAAGAAUCAGCAUAUAUGACGAUGUCGUCCAUAUAUACAAAAAGCUCGACUCCUUGUAAACCAACCAAAACCAAAUCCAUGCACCUCUGAAACGUGGCUGGAGCAUUUUUAAGCCCGAAGGGCAUAUUAUUAAAUUCAUAAUGCCCAUUAACAGUUGAGAAAGCGGUCUUGGAUUUAGAAUCCGGAUGUAUGGGGACCUGAUGGAAACCAGAGGCAAGAUCGAGGGUACUAAAAUACUUGGCG
Long non-coding RNA from Colletes gigas, 1078 nucleotides. RefSeq lists it as uncharacterized. The record is from RefSeq and is a predicted model, not a curated record. The transcript is spliced from 4 exons. Lineage: Eukaryota; Metazoa; Arthropoda; Insecta; Hymenoptera; Colletidae.